Molecule: ribosomal RNA, 1114 nt
Filed under: Bacillus licheniformis
Lineage: Bacteria; Bacillati; Bacillota; Bacilli; Caryophanales; Bacillaceae
Description: bacterial SSU rRNA
Rfam family: Bacterial small subunit ribosomal RNA
Source: RNAcentral
AGAGUUUGAUCCUGGCUCGGACGAACGCUGGCGGCGUGCCUAAUACAUGCAAGUCGAGCGGACCGACGGGAGCUUGCUCCCUUAGGUCAGCGGCGGACGGGUGAGUAACACGUGGGUAACCUGCCUGUAAGACUGGGAUAACUCCGGGAAACCGGGGCUAAUACCGGAUGCUUGAUUGAGCCGCAUGGUUUAAUUAUAAAAGGUGGCUUUUAGCCACUUACAGAUGGACCCGCGGCGCAUUAGCUAGUUGGUGAGGUAACGGCUCACCAAGGCAACGAUGGUAGCCGACCAGGGUGAUCGGCCACACUGGGACUGGCCCAGACUCCUACGGGAGGCAGCAGUAGGGAAUCUUCCGCAAUGGACGAAAGUCUGACGGAGCAACGCCGCGUGAGUGAUGAAGGUUUUCGGAUCGUAAAACUCUGUUGUUAGGGAAGAACAAGUACCGUUCGAAUAGGGCGGUACCUUGACGGUACCUAACCAGAAAGCCACGGCUAACUACGUGCCAGCAGCCGCGGUAAUAGUGGGUUGUCCGGAAUUAUUGGGCGUAAAGCGCGCGCAGGCGGUUUCUUAAGUCUGGCCCCCGGCUCAACCGGGGAGGGUCAUUGGAAACUGGGGAACUUGAGUGCAGAAGAGGAGAGUGGAAUUCCACGUGUGAAAUGCGUAGAGAUGUGGAGGAACACCAGUGGCGAAGGCGACUCUCUGGUCUGUAACUGACGCUGAGGAAGCGUGGGGAGCGAACAGGAUUAGAUACCCUGGUAGUCCACGCCGUAAACGAUGAGUGCUAAGUGUUAGAGGGUUUCCCUUUAGUGCUGCAGCAAACGCAUUAAGCACUCCGCCUGGGGAGUACGGUCGCAAGACCGAAACUCAAAGGAAUUGACGGGGGCCCGCAGUGGAGCAUGUGGUUUAAUUCGAAGCAACGCGAAGAACCUUACCAGGUCUUGACAUCCUCUGACAACCCUAGAGAUAGGGCUUCCCCUUCGGGGGCAGAGUGACAGGUGGUGCAUGGUUGUCGUCAGCUCGUGAGAUGUUGGGUUAAGUCCCGCAACGAGCGCAACCCUUGAUCUUAGUUGCAUUCAGUUGGGCACUCUAAGGUGACUGCCGAAACCGGAGGAAG